RNAcentral lists this ribosomal RNA (424 nucleotides) under uncultured prokaryote. RNAcentral's name for it is "bacterial SSU rRNA". It matches the Rfam family "Bacterial small subunit ribosomal RNA", at positions 355 to 796 of the family's 1533-position model. The record is from RNAcentral.
UGGGGAAUCUUAGACAAUGGGGGAAACCCUGAUCUAGCCAUGCCGCGUGAGUGAUGAAGGCCCUAGGGUCGUAAAGCUCUUUCGCCAGGGAUGAGAAUGACAGUACCUGGUAAAGAAACCCCGGCUAACUCCGUGCCAGCAGCCGCGGUAAUACGUAGGGGGCGAGCGUUGUCCGGAAUUAUUGGGCGUAAAGAGCGUGUAGGCGGCCUGGUAAGUCUGUCGUGAAAUGCUGGGGCUCAACCCUGGACGUGCGAUGGAUACUGCUAGGCUAGAGGUUGGUAGAGGCGAGUGGAAUUCCCGGUGUAGCGGUGAAAUGCGCAGAUAUCGGGAGGAACACCAGUAGCGAAGGCGGCUCGCUGGGCCAUUCCUGACGCUGAGACGCGAAAGCGUGGGGAGCAAACAGGAUUAGAUACCCCCGUAGUCC